GGCGAGGUGGUACUACGUUAUCCUUGAUCCAAUAGGUCGGUGGAACAUCGUGUGCGAAGAGAGUCCCGAACGGAGUCCAGGACAGGGCGGGCGCCCAGGGAAAGAGGGCGGGCGCCCUGGGCCUGGCCCCUUUUGGCCUCUGCUUUCUUCCCGUGGCUUCUGGAGUCUUCUAGAUGGUAGAAAAUUGCGCGGUGUGUUGAUAUCUCUAUGUAAUCCCGACAUGUGGGCCUUUCUUACUUAUUUCCUGAUAUCCCCCUACAGAAAUAGACAAACACCAAAACUCAUGGAAUUCUGUCAGAUAAAACCCUAAGUCUAGGUGUUGGUUGCAUUUGGAUCCUUUUCUUUAUUUAUUUGAUGAUUAUAUUUGGUACUUAAGGACCGUCAACAACUCCCCCAAGCUUACCUCUUGCUCGUCCCUGAGCAAGGAUGAACUCAAGAGUUUCUGCAGUGGUUUCAUGCCUUAAAAGUAUACACGCAUUCAAGCA
This 485-nucleotide long non-coding RNA is filed under the name Sorghum bicolor (sorghum). Its description in RNAcentral is "long non-coding RNA (SBIC_LNC013143)". The record is from RNAcentral. Lineage: Eukaryota; Viridiplantae; Streptophyta; Magnoliopsida; Poales; Poaceae.